AUACUUACCUAGACAGAGUCAAUGGGUGAUCAUGAAUGCCCAUGUCCUAGGUUGGUGACCUCCAUUUCACUUUGGAGGGGUGCCCACCUAAGGUCGGCCCAAGUGGCCUACGUCAUAAUUUGUGCAUUUUUUUUUUGCACGGAUUGCCCUUCU
Molecule: small nuclear RNA, 153 nt
Organism: Lycium ferocissimum
Lineage: Eukaryota; Viridiplantae; Streptophyta; Magnoliopsida; Solanales; Solanaceae
Product: U1 spliceosomal RNA
Exons: 1
Source: RefSeq, a predicted model, not a curated record